This 914-nucleotide ribosomal RNA is filed under the name uncultured bacterium. Its description in RNAcentral is "bacterial SSU rRNA". It matches the Rfam family "Bacterial small subunit ribosomal RNA", at positions 8 to 916 of the family's 1533-position model. The record is from RNAcentral.
AGGGUUUGAUUAUGGCUCAGGAUGAACGCUAGCGGCAGGCCUAACACAUGCAAGUCGAGGGGUAACAGAGAGAAGCUUGCUUUUCUGCUGACGACCGGCGCACGGGUGAGUAACGCGUAUACAAUCUGCCUUAUACAGAGGGAUAGCCUUUAGAAAUGAAGAUUAAUACCUUAUAGUCUAUUUUUAUAGCAUUAUAUAAAUAGUAAAGCUUCGGUGGUAUAAGAUGAGUAUGCGUCCUAUUAGUUAGUUGGUAAGGUAACGGCUUACCAAGACAACGAUAGGUAGGGGCCCUGAGAGGGGGAUCCCCCACACUGGUACUGAGACACGGACCAGACUCCUACGGGAGGCAGCAGUGAGGAAUAUUGGACAAUGGAGGCAACUCUGAUCCAGCCAUGCCGCGUGCAGGAAGACGGCCCUAUGGGUUGUAAACUGCUUUUAUAUAGGAAGAAACCUUUUCACGUGUGAGAAGCUGACGGUACUAUAAGAAUAAGGACCGGCUAACUCCGUGCCAGCAGCCGCGGUAAUACGGAGGGUCCGAGCGUUAUCCGGAAUCAUUGGGUUUAAAGGGUCCGUAGGCGGGAAUCUAAGUCAGUGGUGAAAUCUUGCAGCUCAACUGUAAAAUUGCCAUUGAUACUGGAUUUCUUGAAUUAGUGUGAAGUGAUUAGAAUGUGUAGUGUAGCGGUGAAAUGCAUAGAUAUUACACAGAAUACCAAUUGCGAAGGCAGAUCACUAACACUAUAUUGACGCUGAGGGACGAAAGCGUGGGGAGCGAACAGGAUUAGAUACCCUGGUAGUCCACGCCGUAAACGAUGGAUACUAGCUGUUCGAUCUUCGGAUUGAGUGGCUAAGCGAAAGUGAUAAGUAUCCCACCUGGGGAGUACGUUCGCAAGAAUGAAACUCAAAGGAAUUGACGG